RNAcentral lists this unclassified non-coding RNA (72 nucleotides) under Kaistella chaponensis. RNAcentral's name for it is "Chryseobacterium chaponense Flavo-1 RNA". Lineage: Bacteria; Pseudomonadati; Bacteroidota; Flavobacteriia; Flavobacteriales; Weeksellaceae. The record is from RNAcentral.
UUUAAAAUAUAAUUGACGAGAAAUUUUCCUUCUUUUUGAUCGAAGAAAAUGUACCAGAAAGUUUGAUUAUUG